UGGGGAAUAUUGGACAAUGGGCGAAAGCCUGAUCCAGCCAUGCCGCGUGUGUGAAGAAGGUCUUCGGAUUGUAAAGCACUUUAAGUUGGGAGGAAGGGCAUUAACCUAAUACGUUAGUGUUUUUACGUUACCGACAGAAUAAGCACCGGCUAACUCUGUGCCAGCAGCAGCGGUAAUACAGAGGGUGCAAGCGUUAAUCGGAAUUACUGGGCGUAAAGCGCGCGUAGGUGGUUUGUUAAGUUGGAUGUGAAAUCCCCGGGCUCAACCUGGGAACUGCAUUCAAAACUGACUGACUAGAGUAUGGUAGAGGGUGGUGGAAUUUCCUGUGUAGCGGUGAAAUGCGUAGAUAUAGGAAGGAACACCAGUGGCGAAGGCGACCACCUGGACUAAUACUGACACUGAGGUGCGAAAGCGUGGGGAGCAAACA
RNAcentral lists this ribosomal RNA (427 nucleotides) under uncultured bacterium. Its description in RNAcentral is "partial 16S ribosomal RNA". It matches the Rfam family "Bacterial small subunit ribosomal RNA", at positions 355 to 774 of the family's 1533-position model. The record is from RNAcentral.